UCCCUGCCCUUUGUACACACCGCCCGUCGCUGCCCGGGACUGAGCCAUUUCGAGAAAUUUGGGGACUGUUGAUUUAACUUUUUUUUAAAAAGUUUUUUUGAUGGAAACCAAUUUAAUCGCAGUGGCUUGAACCGGGCAAAAGUCGUAACAAGGUAGCUGUAGGUGAACCUGCUGCUGGAUCAUUACUUUUUAUGUGAUGUUCAAAUUUGAAUUUUUUCUCGCAAUCCCUUUGUGGAUUGUGUAACGGCUGCCGCUGGUGUCUAGGUGUUGCUGAUUCAGUCGUGAGCGUCCGUGACUGAAUAUGAGGUGACAUGUUAGGAUUAUCGUUAUAAUCGUAAGACUUAAUGAGCCUCUUAAGUGAGGACGCCAGCACCCAUUUUUUCUAAUAAAUUUUUUUUAAACAAAUGAAAAAUUUAGCCUUACCGGUGGAUCACUCGGUUCGUGGAUCGAUGAAGAACGCAGCUAACUGCGAUAAUUUAUGUGAACUGCAGAAAUCUUGAGCAUAAAAGUUUUGAACGCAUAUUGCGGCAUUGGGGUCAAACCCUUUGGCACGUCUGGUUCAGGGUCAUUUUCUUAUAAAGCGAAAGCUUUUAUUGUAUAUUGUCAGUGACUUUUAUACCUUAAUAUUGUUUUGGUGAUAAUUUUUGAAUUAAUAUUUAUUACCAAAUACAUUCAUAUUUUUGACCUGAACUCAGUCGAGAGCACCCGCUGAACUUAAGCAUAUCA
This 726-nucleotide ribosomal RNA is filed under the name Meloidogyne minor. RNAcentral describes it as "eukaryotic LSU rRNA". The stretch from base 1 to 185 matches the Rfam family "Eukaryotic small subunit ribosomal RNA", at positions 1650 to 1831 of the family's 1831-position model. The record is from RNAcentral. Lineage: Eukaryota; Metazoa; Nematoda; Chromadorea; Rhabditida; Meloidogynidae.